Long non-coding RNA from Lethenteron reissneri (Far Eastern brook lamprey), 1554 nucleotides. RefSeq lists it as uncharacterized. The record is from RefSeq and is a predicted model, not a curated record. NCBI's taxonomy places the organism in Eukaryota, Metazoa, Chordata, Hyperoartia, Petromyzontiformes, Petromyzontidae.
UCGGCGCGUAAAAAUUACUGUCGCACUGCCAACUUUCAACUCGCUGAAAGCAAACCGCCGUAGCUUUGAAUUUUUUUUAAACGGUUUAAAAAAAAAGUACAUAUUUAUUCAAUGAAAGGUUUUUUUUGUUUGUUUUAAAUCUACCCUGUUUGAAAGCACACGCUGGAAAUGUUUUAGCAGUUGAAAGGGGUGGCGGAGAGCAGUGGCGCAGUCGUUAGUGAACUACAUUGCAAGUUCAGAAUCCAGGCCACGGCGAGCCUGCACUGACCAGCGUGGUCAAGCAUGGCUAGCCACCCCCACCCCCCAACUGAUUGGGAAGCCUUCAUACAGCAUUGAAUCGACAAAGGGACGCGUAUUAUUGUUUUUAUUUAUAUUAGAACCACGCUUCAGUUGAGUUCUUAAAUCGCCCGGCGAGCUCAAGGAAGAAGAGCGACACCACGAAUAAGGCUGGCCCCGUGUUGGGUGGCAUCGUGAUGCCCACGGCCUUUCGGGCACCGCCACCUCCUGCCGCCACCGUUCAUCCCAAGCCGGCGAUUCAGUGCGCAUGGGUCCAGAUUGAUGGUGGUUCCCAAGCUUCUUGGAGGUCACCUAACGAAAGCCGCUCGUGCCCGGGCACCCCAGCCAGAGAGAGCUGGGCCAACCCGAGGCUGCGUGGCGUCUGCCAAAAAGAAUGAAAAAAGGCGCAAAACCGUUUGUUGCAGUGUUCAGAAUUCAGCGCUGGAGGGCGAGAAACGGGAGCCCAAAAAGCCGGCUUGACAUCCCUUUCGUUUUGCCACCCCACCACCGCUUAAAUUCGCCGGAGAAAUUGCCGACGCUCAAGCUCAGCUCGACUCUGUUCGGGAGCUGCUGCAUAAUUGGGGGAAGAGGCAUUCAACGGGCUCGUCACAACGGAAAUAUUCAUGACGGCGGCGGUUCAUCCGAUUAAAAAAAAAGAAUCCAUACGCACGCUCGCGCAUUUUUCCUCUCUCCAUAAACGUAACACUCCAUUUGGUCGAGCUCCCCCGGCCAUUCUUGGACUGGAAGAGAACACGUUUAAAAAAAAAGAGAUCGCGUACCUGGGAAAAAGUUUGCACAAUUUGGUCGACCUCUUGCAUGCGGUUGUCACAACAAUGAAGCAUUCCUCAAGAAGGGCCGCGUAAUGAAAACGGGGAAGCAACAUUUAAACAACUAGAAAUUCCUGGAAAAUCGUUAGUUCUUGCGCGAUUCUCUACAUUUUUCGUUUACAUUUGGAUUUGUCUUUUCCAGUGCUGACACAAUGCGUUUUCUGUUGAGGAAGUUGCACGCGUCUUUAUUUCAUAAUUUAGCAUAACAGCGCUGACUGCGGGAGCAAGCCCUGUUUCUCCGAACAAGGAAAUAAAAACAAAACCCAUUCUUUUGGUCGCUUAAGAAUCGUUCACAAACCAUCUUUCGUUGUCUCCAACAAAAUACGAGAUCUAGCACCCUGCACCUUUGCAGCGACGAAGAUACGCACCCCCACACGUCACUUCUCUCUCCUCGUCGCUUUAAUGACGACGACGAGCACGUGCGAUCACACAGCACCCCACCGUGUGGCUC